CACGCCGUAAACGAUGGAUACUAGCUGUUCGGAGCAAUCUGAGUGGCUAAGCGAAAGUGAUAAGUAUCCCACCUGGGGAGUACGCACGCAAGUGUGAAACUCAAAGGAAUUGACGGGGGCCCGCACAAGCGGUGGAGCAU
RNAcentral lists this ribosomal RNA (140 nucleotides) under uncultured bacterium. Its description in RNAcentral is "partial 16S ribosomal RNA". It matches the Rfam family "Bacterial small subunit ribosomal RNA", at positions 796 to 940 of the family's 1533-position model. The record is from RNAcentral.